CGGAUUCAGGGAGUUCUUCUAGGAGUGAUUCGGAUGCCGAUAAUGCACAGUCUUGAGGCCAUCUAAUUAAAAGGGCUUUCCAAGAGUAGACUCAAGUGGAGAGCUGGAUCAAAAUGCCUUUCUUCUUUGAAUACCUUUCCCAUUUGGGGAUGUUGGGUUGUGCAGUAAAGGGGAUGUUAAACUCGGAAAUGUGUGAUUUGUGGAAUUUUUUUUAAUUGUUUCAAGCAUUUGGAGGAAUUGUUGGAAUGGGCAUUUUGGCUAUGGAGUGACGGAAAUGUAAAAAGGAGCCCUUGAGUAGGGUGAAAAAAAAGUAGGUCAAAUGGUACAGAACUGUAAGUGUAAACAGAUUAGGGAUUAGUAGAUGUAGUAGAGUGAAAGAUUUAGAGUGAUUGAGAGAUACCAUUGUACACAUUACCCCCGCAUUAAUACAUAUGAUUUUCUUGGAGAAUUUUGUGGUUCAA
Long non-coding RNA from Juglans microcarpa x Juglans regia, 461 nucleotides. RefSeq lists it as uncharacterized. Lineage: Eukaryota; Viridiplantae; Streptophyta; Magnoliopsida; Fagales; Juglandaceae. The record is from RefSeq and is a predicted model, not a curated record. The transcript has 2 exons.